This 465-nucleotide ribosomal RNA is filed under the name uncultured bacterium. RNAcentral's name for it is "partial 16S ribosomal RNA". It matches the Rfam family "Bacterial small subunit ribosomal RNA", at positions 338 to 795 of the family's 1533-position model. The record is from RNAcentral.
CCUACGGGCGGCAGCAGUAGGGAAUCUUCCACAAUGGGCGAAAGCCUGAUGGAGCAACGCCGCGUGGGUGAAGAAGGUCUUCGGAUCGUAAAACCCUGUUGUCAGAGAAGAAAGUGCGUGAGAGUAACUGUUCACGUUUCGACGGUAUCUUACCAGAAAGCCACGGCUAACUACGUGCCAGCAGCCGCGGUAAUACGUAGGUGGCAAGCGUUAUCCGGAUUUAUUGGGCGUAAGGGGAACGCAGGCGGUUUUGUAAGUCUGAUGUGAAAGCUCUCGGCUUAACCGGAGUAGUGCAUUGGAAACUGGGAAACUUGAGUGCAGAAGAGGAGAGUGGAACUCCAAGUGUAGCGGUGAAAUGCGUAGAUAUAUGGAGGAACACCAGUGGCGAAAGCGGCUCUCUGGUCUGUAACUGACGCUGAGGUUCGAAAGCGUGGGUAGCAAACAGGAUUAGAUACCCGGGUAGUC